UGUCUGUUCCAAUCCAGGAUGAAAACUAUGCCACCGAAGUCUCACAGCACCUGGGCAGCGAAGUGCCACUUAAACCCGCUGUGAUGCACAGACCUUGCCCUGGCUGUCUGCCCAGGGCUGAAUUUCACCCAUUCAGAGUGUGCUAAGCAGAUGCUACCCUGUAAUAAGAGGAAACAGAAGCAAAGACGGAAAGAAUGUUACUUAAACCAAUGAACAGAUGCAGAGAGUGGAAACACAGCAAAGCAAACGAAUGGAUCCUGUGAGUAAAUAACCUGAAAGCAAAUGGGGGGGAAAACCUCAUUAGGGUAAUUGUGGCUCUUGGGAUAAAGAUCAGGUUCCUGGUGCCUAGCCUGGCUGAGAUCCUGCCUGUUCCCUGGAUCCCAGACCUGGGAUUCCCAUGUCAUUCUCCUUAUUUUAUUCCGAGGGAAAAGGAUCCCCAAAGGAGGUGUGAGGAUCUUCGACUCUAAUGUCUGCAAGAAGCUUCAGCCACCUUCACAGGUGUUAUUAUAGCAGACCAAAAUCAAUGAAAGACAUAAUCAUCUUUCCUGAACAAUGGAAUUGAGUCAUGGAGUUUCUGAUAAACAUUCCCCAAACAUGAGAUGCUCAUAAGAUUUUUAGAUGAUGUAAGCAGGAUCAGAAAGAGCUCUCCCCAACAUCUAGUGAUGAACUGGAGAAGACCUCGGGAACCGAUCUUAUUUGCACAGACAUACCCACUCUGCAUCAUGGGGUUGCUUUGCCCAAAUGAUCACUUUUGACUGGUGUUGGAUUGCAAAUCACUUUGUGAUUGGGUGCAGGGGUAAUAAAUUGUUGCUGCCCUUGUUGUGUGAA
Long non-coding RNA from Chelonia mydas (Green sea turtle), 828 nucleotides. RefSeq lists it as uncharacterized. The transcript is spliced from 3 exons. NCBI's taxonomy places the organism in Eukaryota, Metazoa, Chordata, Testudines, Cheloniidae. The record is from RefSeq and is a predicted model, not a curated record.